RNAcentral lists this ribosomal RNA (731 nucleotides) under Salmonella enterica. RNAcentral's name for it is "partial 23S ribosomal RNA". It matches the Rfam family "Bacterial large subunit ribosomal RNA", at positions 2211 to 2925 of the family's 2925-position model. RNAcentral also lists the same sequence under 2 other names. Lineage: Bacteria; Pseudomonadati; Pseudomonadota; Gammaproteobacteria; Enterobacterales; Enterobacteriaceae. The record is from RNAcentral.
UGUUUGAUGUUCUAACGUGGACCCGUGAUCCGGGUUGCGGACAGUGUCUGGUGGGUAGUUUGACUGGGGCGGUCUCCUCCUAAAGAGUAACGGAGGAGCACGAAGGUUGGCUAAUCCUGGUCGGACAUCAGGAGGUUAGUGCAAUGGCAUAAGCCAGCUUGACUGCGAGCGUGACGGCGCGAGCAGGUGCGAAAGCAGGUCAUAGUGAUCCGGUGGUUCUGAAUGGAAGGGCCAUCGCUCAACGGAUAAAAGGUACUCCGGGGAUAACAGGCUGAUACCGCCCAAGAGUUCAUAUCGACGGCGGUGUUUGGCACCUCGAUGUCGGCUCAUCACAUCCUGGGGCUGAAGUAGGUCCCAAGGGUAUGGCUGUUCGCCAUUUAAAGUGGUACGCGAGCUGGGUUUAGAACGUCGUGAGACAGUUCGGUCCCUAUCUGCCGUGGGCGCUGGAGAACUGAGGGGGGCUGCUCCUAGUACGAGAGGACCGGAGUGGACGCAUCACUGGUGUUCGGGUUGUCAUGCCAAUGGCACUGCCCGGUAGCUAAAUGCGGAAGAGAUAAGUGCUGAAAGCAUCUAAGCACGAAACUUGCCCCGAGAUGAGUUCUCCCUGAGACUUAAAGUCUCCUGAAGGAACGUUGAAGACGACGACGUUGAUAGGCCGGGUGUGUAAGCGCAGCGAUGCGUUGAGCUAACCGGUACUAAUGAACCGUGAGGCUUAACCUUACAACGCCGAA